Molecule: ribosomal RNA, 253 nt
Filed under: uncultured bacterium
Lineage: Bacteria
Description: partial 16S ribosomal RNA
Rfam family: Bacterial small subunit ribosomal RNA
Source: RNAcentral
UACGUAGGGGGCGAGCGUUGUCCGGAAUGACUGGGCGUAAAGGGCGCGUAGACGGCUUUUUAAGUCUGGAGUGAAAGUCCUGCUUUCAAGGUGGGAAUUGCUUUGGAGACUGGAAGGCUUGAGUGCGGAAGAGGUAAGUGGAAUUCCCAGUGUAGCGGUGAAAUGCGUAGAGAUUGGGAAGAACACCAGUGGCGAAGGCGACUUACUGGGCCGUAACUGACGUUGAUGCGCGAAAGCGUGGGGAGCGAACAGG